This is a long non-coding RNA of Monodelphis domestica (gray short-tailed opossum), 1783 nucleotides long. The record is from Ensembl. NCBI's taxonomy places the organism in Eukaryota, Metazoa, Chordata, Mammalia, Didelphimorphia, Didelphidae.
AUGUUUGCUCUGAAAGAAAACCUGUGGUUGUACCUAGAAUAUGCCCAGAGAGGUUGUCUCACCCCCCCGCAACAUGUUGUCUCCAAGUGUUCUGAGAUGGAAUCUGCUUCCGCAGAGAGCCAGCCUGUAGGACUCGGGAUGUUCUCAGAGAGCGUGUCUCCUGCCACCAAUGUCUUGUCCCCUGAGUGUUCUGAGAUGGAAUCUGCUUCCGCAGAGAGCCAGCCUGUAGGACUCGGGAUGUUCUCAGAGAGCGUGUCUCCUGCCACCAAUGUCUUGUCCCCUGAGUGUUCUGAGAUGGAAUCUGCUUCCGCAGAGAGCCAGCCUGUAGGACUCGGGAUGUUCUCAGAGAGCGUGUCUCCUGCCACCAAUGUCUUGUCCCCUGAGUGUUCUGAGAUGGAAUCUGCUUCCGCAGAGAGCCAGCCUGUAGGACUCGGGAUGUUCUCAGAGAGCGUGUCUCCUGCCACCAAUGUCUUGUCCCCUGAGUGUUCUGAGAUGGAAUCUGCUUCCGCAGAGAGCCAGCCUGUAGGACUCGGGAUGUUCUCAGAGAGCGUGUCUCCUGCCACCAAUGUCUUGUCCCCUGAGUGUUCUGAGAUGGAAUCUGCUUCCGCAGAGAGCCAGCCUGUAGGACUCGGGAUGUUCUCAGAGAGCGUGUCUCCUGCCACCAAUGUCUUGUCCCCUGAGUGUUCUGAGACUCGGUGUGUUUCCACAGAGAGCCAGCCUGGAGGAACUCGAAGGUUCUCAGAGAGGUGGUGUGUCUCCCACCACAAAGUGUGUGGCCUGUGAGUCUCAUGGACUUGAGCUGGCUCGUUUGUCUUCCCUGAAACAAAAAACACAUCCUGUCACCUAGGCUGGCUGAAAGGGACAGGGAGAGGGAGAGGAAGGGAGAACUGGGACAGGGGGAUGGGAGAAACAGCCAACAUGGAGGAAAGCUCAAGAGUCUCAAGAGGAAGCAGGGAGGCUUGGCAAGGAGCAAUGAAAGGGCUUUGGCACAUGCAGAGAGACUGCUUCCACCACCACCAAAUUGGGGCUUGACUUGAAACCUCCGACUCAUACACAAGAAAUCUUUGCCCUGCCCUGUCCACACAUCUGUGUGUCCGGCCCUGGCAGGUCUGCGUGCUGUGCGUUUCGCUCGUGUGUCUCUCGGCUCUCAGACACUCUGUGCCAGUCCCUGGAUGGGGCAUGCCACUCGUCCUCUCCUGUGCGUGGCUGCGCCGGGCCCACCGGUUUCUGGCCCCCUCUGGCCCUUCUCCUUUUCUCUGACCCUGCGCCUGCAUGCUUGAGUGCCUCCUGCCGCUCGUGCUUCUCUGUUCCAGCCUCCCAGGUGUCCUUGGACCUCGGGCUGGCCAGCAUCCUACCUCCCAAAGUCCCCAUCCCAAGCCAGCGAGCCAAUGCCUGCCAUGGCAAAAUCGUGUUCAGUCGAGGUCGGCGGAAUGGUCCUCCUCAGAAGAUCUAACUGUCCUUCAGACACAUAAAGAGAUGGGAGAAGUAGAAAGUAGUUUGGCAGGAGCUGGAUGAGAAAUGGGCACCUGACACAGCCUCUCAACUCCAACUCCAAACAGAAAGAGGAAUGAGAUGGGACGGAGAAAUGAAGGAAGAAGGUGUUCUCACCGCUAAUUAUCCAUGGCAGACGUCAAGGGAAUCAGGAAGAAUUACUGGAUGGGGGCAGCUGGGAGGCUCAGCGGAUGGAGAGCCAGGCCAAGGGAGUGCCCAGGUGCUGGGUUCUAAUGUGGCCUCAGGCACUUCCUGGCCCCUGGGUACUAGGUCACUUCUCCCCCAGGCCUGG